RNAcentral lists this ribosomal RNA (253 nucleotides) under uncultured bacterium. RNAcentral's name for it is "partial 16S ribosomal RNA". It matches the Rfam family "Bacterial small subunit ribosomal RNA", at positions 524 to 776 of the family's 1533-position model. The record is from RNAcentral.
GUCAGAGGUGCCAAGCGUUAGGCGGAAUCACUGGGCUUAAAGCGUGUGUAGGCGGAUCGUUAAGUACCUUGUGAAAUCCCACGGCUCAACCGUGGAACUGCUGGGUAUACUGGCGGUCUUGAGCCACCUAGGGGCAACUGGAACAAGCGGUGGAGCGGUGAAAUGCGUAGAUAUCUGGAGGAACACCGGUGGCGAAGGCGGCAUCCUGGACCAACACUGACACUGAGGAGCGAAAGCCAGGGGAGCAAACGGG